This 877-nucleotide ribosomal RNA is filed under the name Bacillaceae bacterium ACEMC 21-1. Its description in RNAcentral is "bacterial SSU rRNA". It matches the Rfam family "Bacterial small subunit ribosomal RNA", at positions 53 to 913 of the family's 1533-position model. The record is from RNAcentral. Lineage: Bacteria; Bacillati; Bacillota; Bacilli; Caryophanales; Bacillaceae.
ACUGCAGUCGAGCGACAGAAGGGAGCUUGCUCCCGGAUGUUAGCGGCGGACGGGUGAGUAACACGUGGGUAACCUGCCUGUAAGACUGGGAUAACUCCGGGAAACCGGAGCUAAUACCGGAUAGUUCCUUGAACCGCAUGGUUCAAGGAUGAAAGACGGUUUCGGCUGUCACUUACAGAUGGACCCGCGGCGCAUUAGCUAGUUGGUGGGGUAAUGGCUCACCAAGGCGACGAUGCGUAGCCGACCUGAGAGGGUGAUCGGCCACACUGGGACUGAGACACGGCCCAGACUCCUACGGGAGGCAGCAGUAGGGAAUCUUCCGCAAUGGACGAAAGUCUGACGGAGCAACGCCGCGUGAGUGAUGAAGGUUUUCGGAUCGUAAAGCUCUGUUGUUAGGGAAGAACAAGUGCGAGAGUAACUGCUCGCACCUUGACGGUACCUAACCAGAAAGCCACGGCUAACUACGUGCCAGCAGCCGCGGUAAUACGUAGGUGGCAAGCGUUGUCCGGAAUUAUUGGGCGUAAAGGGCUCGCAGGCGGUUUCUUAAGUCUGAUGUGAAAGCCCCCGGCUCAACCGGGGAGGGUCAUUGGAAACUGGGAAACUUGAGUGCAGAAGAGGAGAGUGGAAUUCCACGUGUAGCGGUGAAAUGCGUAGAGAUGUGGAGGAACACCAGUGGCGAAGGCGACUCUCUGGUCUGUAACUGACGCUGAGGAGCGAAAGCGUGGGGAGCGAACAGGAUUAGAUACCCUGGUAGUCCACGCCGUAAACGAUGAGUGCUAAGUGUUAGGGGGUUUCCGCCCCUUAGUGCUGCAGCUAACGCAUUAAGCACUCCGCCUGGGGGAGUACGGUCGCAAGACUGAAACUCAAAGGGAAUUGA